GACGAACGCUGGCGGCGUGCUUAACACAUGCAAGUCGAACGGAAAGGCCCUGCUUUUGUGGGGUGCUCGAGUGGCGAACGGGUGAGUAACACGUGAGUAACCUGCCCUUGACUUUGGGAUAACUUCAGGAAACUGGGGCUAAUACCGGAUAGGAGCUCCUGCUGCAUGGUGGUGGUUGGAAAGUUUCGUCGGUUGGGGAUGGACUCGCGGCUUAUCAGCUUGUUGGUGGGGUAGUGGCUUACCAAGGCUUUGACGAGUAGCCGGCCUGAGAGGGUGACCGGCCACAUAGGGACUGAGAUGCGGCCCAGACUCCUACGGGAGGCAGCAGUGGGAAAUAUUGCACAAUGUGCGGAAGCCUGAUGCAGCAACGCCGCGUGCGAAAUGACGGCCUUCGGGUUGUAAACCGCUUUCGCCUGUGACGAAGCGUGAGUAACGGUAAUGGGUAAAGAAGCACCGGCUAACUACGU
Molecule: ribosomal RNA, 467 nt
Filed under: uncultured bacterium
Lineage: Bacteria
Description: partial 16S ribosomal RNA
Rfam family: Bacterial small subunit ribosomal RNA
Source: RNAcentral